GGUGAAAUAAAUGUGCAGUAACUUCUGCAACCCUCUUGGGAACUUUUCCCUUGUGAUCGCUUCUGCCCUGCUCCCUGUUCCUUCUCCAGCAAGAAAUCCCAAAGCAAACCCCUCUGCAGAUUGAAAAUUAAAGCAGCACCCUGCACACUGCAGAGGAUGAGCUUUGGUUACUUUUUGACGUUUUUAUGGAUUUUGUUUGUUUGUUUGCUGAAACUUUGUGCCAGAGAGGGGGGGGACAAAGUCCUCUUUUGCUGAGCCUCUCGCAUAGUCCUGGGACAGACCGGUUAGACGGUCCUUGGGGUUGUUUCUCACUUUUUUUUCCCCCUUCCUUUUCACCUUUUUGGUGUGGUUUGUUUUUUGGGUAUUUUGUCUUUUUUUAAUUUUUUUUUAUUAUUUUUUUUUGGAUGGUGGUGUUCUCGCUUUGGUUUUUAAGACCCUUUUGUCGCUUCUAGGAGUGCAGCCUUCAGUCUUGUCGUCCUGCUCCGGCCCCUCAGCCCUGGCAGCAAGCAAACCCACCGGGCAGACGGAUGCCAAACGUCCCGCAGAUGUGCAGAGCUGCGGCUCAGGGGCAGCGGCCAGCCCGGGGGUGUCGGGGAGCACCGGGGCUCCCUGCAGAUGAGAAGGACUAGAUAACUGAGGCAGAAACAAUCGUUGUGACGGACAGGCAGACCUGGUUCCUGACGCUGCCCCACCACAGGACAGGGACAAACAGAAGGUCCUUUAGUUUAGAGGCAAUUACAAUUUUAAUCCUUUUUUUUUUUUUUUUUUAAACUAAGCAGCUGAAACUUCCCACCUGGCUCUUUAUCACCCAGGUCAAAGGCACUGGGUGUUUCAGGGGUGCAUUUUGUAACGUCUCCUCUCCGGUUAGUUAUCUUUGCUGGCUUUGGAUGGAGGAAAUGUCCUGGCAGGGUCAGCAGGCUGGACCCGCCACAGCCCCACCAACUGUGCAGAGCUGUGCGGAAUAACCUGACCUGCCCGUGGAACUCCUGUGUUUGUGCGCUCCUCGGCUAAUAAACACGAAAACCAAACACGAUAAA
Grus americana (Whooping crane) is the source of this 1037-nucleotide long non-coding RNA. RefSeq lists it as uncharacterized. NCBI's taxonomy places the organism in Eukaryota, Metazoa, Chordata, Aves, Gruiformes, Gruidae. The transcript is spliced from 2 exons. The record is from RefSeq and is a predicted model, not a curated record.